RNAcentral lists this ribosomal RNA (274 nucleotides) under uncultured bacterium. RNAcentral's name for it is "partial 16S ribosomal RNA". It matches the Rfam family "Bacterial small subunit ribosomal RNA", at positions 523 to 796 of the family's 1533-position model. The record is from RNAcentral.
AUACGGAGGGAGCUAGCGUUGUUCGGAUUUACUGGGCGUAAAGCGCGCGUAGGCGGAUUGAUUAGUCAGAGGUGAAAUCCCAGGGCUCAACCCUGGAACUGCCUUUGAUACUGUCAGUCUAGAGACCGAGAGAGGUGAGUGGAAUUUCCAGUGUAGAGGUGAAAUUCGUAGAUAUUGGAAAGAACACCAGUGGCGAAGGCGGCUCACUGGCUCGGUACUGACGCUGAGGUGCGAAAGCGUGGGGAGCAAACAGGAUUAGAUACCCCAGUAGUCC